UAUGGAGGUGUGAGUGACUGCUCUUAUCAGUUCAGGGAAUGGCUGAGUUCUCUCAGUGAAACAUCACUUUAACUUUAUCACAACUUCUAUUUUAUGAAUUAUGAGUAAAUAAAAACAUAUGAUGUGAGCCAAUCGUGGCCGCGCACACGGGAGCGAGGAGUGACAUCCAACCGAGGCUUGUUGACAUUACUGCUCCUGAAUGCAACGUGUCACUACAGUGCAGGCCACCAGUCGUCGCAGGGCCGUGGGCGUGGCCGACUUCACGUCAGCGCGGUAUUUUCUGAUCAGGCAGCGAGCGCGGGCGCUGCCCACCAACACCUGGUCCACACAGAGCCACAAACAGACAGAUGAACGGCUGGUAACAUAAAUCAGGAGGAAGUGGACGCUGGAUAAACUCUGACACUGAAGACAAAAAAAUAAUCUCAUUACAAGGUCCAUUAGUAGCUGUUCUGGAGCUUUCAAUCAUUUUACAUGGUUUUCUGCAAUACUGUGUCCUCAUCUGCCAUUUCCAAGAUCGAGAAUGAACUUUGAGACUCAGCUUUCACACAACCAUGAACGAGACGUCCUUCAAGUGCUCAGAAGAAAUGACGACACGUAACAUUUCCUCUAUUGAUUCACAGCUGCAUGUCAGUGUUUACAGUCAGGAACACAGACACAUGUACGUCUUUAGAUACACUCAGUUUUAUCUGUCCUGUUGUUUUUAUCUUUAUUCUGUUGAGACAUCCAAUACACAUCACAUCUACUGCAAUGUUUAUCUGUAGUUCAGCACAUGUGUCUGUAUGAUGUCUGUUAAAUAAACAGGUAAACAAAUAAAUGAAAAAUAACCUCCGGAUCAGCCACUAAA
Long non-coding RNA from Seriola aureovittata, 844 nucleotides. RefSeq lists it as uncharacterized. The transcript is spliced from 2 exons. The record is from RefSeq and is a predicted model, not a curated record. Lineage: Eukaryota; Metazoa; Chordata; Actinopteri; Carangiformes; Carangidae.